This 224-nucleotide non-coding RNA is filed under the name Heyndrickxia shackletonii. RNAcentral's name for it is "Bacillus shackletonii T-box sequence". It matches the Rfam family "T-box leader". Rfam says of the family: Uncharged tRNA acts as the effector for transcription antitermination of genes in the T-box leader family. Lineage: Bacteria; Bacillati; Bacillota; Bacilli; Caryophanales; Bacillaceae. The record is from RNAcentral.
UAUGAAACGUUUGAGUAGGAAUAGUAGUGAUGUUCAUCUGAACAAGAGAAUUGGCGGUAGGUGCAAGCCAAUCGGAUCCAUCAUGAACUCGCCUAUUAGUUGCAAAUGUGAACGGGAACACCCAAGUAAUCUUUGCCGUUUUCCGCGUUAAGGAUGAAUGAAGCGAGUGCAUGCACUAAUUUGGGUGGUACCGCGGGAGUAUAAGUUAACCUCUCGUCCCUAUU